RNAcentral lists this long non-coding RNA (342 nucleotides) under Volvox carteri. RNAcentral's name for it is "long non-coding RNA (VCAR_LNC003610)". The record is from RNAcentral. Lineage: Eukaryota; Viridiplantae; Chlorophyta; Chlorophyceae; Chlamydomonadales; Volvocaceae.
ACCAACUACUUCAGGGCGGUAGUACCCAAACACCCGAAGUAACCAGCACAACCACGCACACAAGUCCAUGCAAAUCGUACAGCGGCACUCCCAAUUCACAGGAAACUUUAGUUUUCUCGACGCUUCGCUUACAAAGCUAUGAGAUUGUGUGAAGAAGGGGGCAAUAGCUUCAUCCGUGGCCACCACUAGCCUGGCAGUGUUUACCUUCCCGGGUGUGUUUGGGUGCACCCUCAUGCUCAUGCUUUUGACCCAUGCCGACUUCUGAAACGUCAGUGGCAUUUUCGGGUCCAGCACGCACCAUCAGCACAUCCCGUGGAAUCUGUGCCUGGAAUCAACGGCGGC